Molecule: ribosomal RNA, 2480 nt
Filed under: Listeria monocytogenes
Lineage: Bacteria; Bacillati; Bacillota; Bacilli; Caryophanales; Listeriaceae
Description: partial 23S ribosomal RNA
Rfam family: Bacterial large subunit ribosomal RNA
Source: RNAcentral
GGAGGACCAUCUCCCAAGGCUAAAUACUCCCUAGUGACCGAUAGUGAACCAGUACCGUGAGGGAAAGGUGAAAAGCACCCCGGAAGGGGAGUGAAACAGUUCCUGAAACCGUGUGCCUACAAGUAGUUAGAGCCCGUUAAUGGGUGAUAGCGUGCCUUUUGUAGAAUGAACCGGCGAGUUACGAUUUGUUGCAAGGUUAAGCGGAAAAAGCGGAGCCGUAGCGAAAGCGAGUCUGAAUAGGGCGCAUAAGUAACAGGUCGUAGACCCGAAACCAGGUGAUCUACCCAUGUCCAGGAUGAAGGUAAGGUAAUACUUACUGGAGGUCCGAACCCACGCACGUUGAAAAGUGCGGGGAUGAGGUGUGGGUAGCGGAGAAAUUCCAAUCGAACUUGGAGAUAGCUGGUUCUCUCCGAAAUAGCUUUAGGGCUAGCCUCGAGGUAAAGAGUCAUGGAGGUAGAGCACUGUUUGGACUAGGGGCCCUUCUCGGGUUACCGAAUUCAGAUAAACUCCGAAUGCCAUGUACUUAUACUCGGGAGUCAGACUGCGAGUGAUAAGAUCCGUAGUCGAAAGGGAAACAGCCCAGACCACCAGUUAAGGUCCCCAAAUAUAUGUUAAGUGGAAAAGGAUGUGGGGUUGCUUAGACAACCAGGAUGUUGGCUUAGAAGCAGCCACCAUUGAAAGAGUGCGUAAUAGCUCACUGGUCGAGUGACCCCGCGCCGAAAAUGUACCGGGGCUAAACAUAUUACCGAAACUGUGGAUGAACCUCUUUAGAGGUUCGUGGUAGGAGAGCGUUCUAAGGGCGGUGAAGUCAGACCGGAAGGACUGGUGGAGCGCUUAGAAGUGAGAAUGCCGGUAUGAGUAGCGAAAGAAGGGUGAGAAUCCCUUCCACCGAAUAUCUAAGGUUUCCUGAGGAAGGCUCGUCCGCUCAGGGUUAGUCGGGACCUAAGCCGAGGCCGAUAGGCGUAGGCGAUGGACAACAGGUAGAGAUUCCUGUACCAGUGCUAAUUGUUUAACCGAUGGGGUGACACAGAAGGAUAGGGAAUCGCACGAAUGGAAAUGUGCGUCCAAGCAGUGAGUGUGAGAAGUAGGCAAAUCCGCUUCUCGCGAAGCAUGAGCUGUGAUGGGGAAGGAAAUUAAGUACGGAAGUUCCUGAUUUCACGCUGUCAAGAAAAGCCUCUAGGAAGAGUAGUACUGCCCGUACCGCAAACCGACACAGGUAGAUGAGGAGAGAAUCCUAAGGUGAGCGAGAGAACUCUCGUUAAGGAACUCGGCAAAAUGACCCCGUAACUUCGGGAGAAGGGGUGCUCUAUUAGGGUGCAAGCCCGAGAGAGCCGCAGUGAAUAGGCCCAGGCGACUGUUUAGCAAAAACACAGGUCUCUGCAAAACCGUAAGGUGACGUAUAGGGGCUGACGCCUGCCCGGUGCUGGAAGGUUAAGAGGAGUGCUUAGCUUCGGCGAAGGUACGAAUUGAAGCCCCAGUAAACGGCGGCCGUAACUAUAACGGUCCUAAGGUAGCGAAAUUCCUUGUCGGGUAAGUUCCGACCCGCACGAAAGGCGCAACGAUCUGGGCACUGUCUCAACGAGAGACUCGGUGAAAUUAUAGUACCUGUGAAGAUGCAGGUUACCCGCGACAGGACGGAAAGACCCCGUGGAGCUUUACUGCAACCUGAUAUGGAAUGUUUGUACCGCUUGUACAGGAUAGGUAGGAGCCGAAGAGACGUGUGCGCUAGCAUACGAGGAGGCAAUGGUGGGAUACUACCCUGGCUGUAUGACCAUUCUAACCCGCCACGCUUAGCGCGUGGGGAGACAGUGUCAGGUGGGCAGUUUGACUGGGGCGGUCGCCUCCUAAAGAGUAACGGAGGCGCCCAAAGGUUCCCUCAGAAUGGAUGGAAAUCAUUCGCAGAGUGUAAAGGCACAAGGGAGCUUGACUGCGAGACUGACAAGUCGAGCAGGGACGAAAGUCGGGCUUAGUGAUCCGGUGGUUCCGCAUGGAAGGGCCAUCGCUCAACGGAUAAAAGCUACCCCGGGGAUAACAGGCUUAUCUCCCCCAAGAGUCCACAUCGACGGGGAGGUUUGGCACCUCGAUGUCGGCUCGUCGCAUCCUGGGGCUGUAGUCGGUCCCAAGGGUUGGGCUGUUCGCCCAUUAAAGCGGCACGCGAGCUGGGUUCAGAACGUCGUGAGACAGUUCGGUCCCUAUCCGUCGCGGGCGCAGGAAAUUUGAGAGGAGCUGUCCUUAGUACGAGAGGACCGGGAUGGACACACCGCUGGUGUACCAGUUGUUCCGCCAGGAGCAUCGCUGGGUAGCUAUGUGUGGCAGGGAUAAACGCUGAAAGCAUCUAAGCGUGAAGCCCCCCUCAAGAUGAGAUUUCCCAUUUCUUCGGAAAGUAAGAUCCCUGAAAGAUGAUCAGGUAGAUAGGUUUGGAGUGGAAGUGUAGCGAUACAUGGAGCGGACAAAUACUAAUCGAUCGAGGACUUAACCAA